UGCAUACUCCCUCCGUCUCAUAAUUCUUGUCUUAGAUUUGUCUCUAUAUGAAUGUAUCUAGUCACGUUUUAGUAUUUUGAUACAUCCAUUUCUAGACAAAUUCAAGACAAGAAUUUUGAAACGGAGGGAGUAUGAU
This is a non-coding RNA of Hordeum vulgare subsp. vulgare (domesticated barley), 136 nucleotides long. The record is from Rfam. Lineage: Eukaryota; Viridiplantae; Streptophyta; Magnoliopsida; Poales; Poaceae.